This 668-nucleotide ribosomal RNA is filed under the name Sphingomonas aerolata. RNAcentral's name for it is "bacterial SSU rRNA". It matches the Rfam family "Bacterial small subunit ribosomal RNA", at positions 19 to 733 of the family's 1533-position model. Lineage: Bacteria; Pseudomonadati; Pseudomonadota; Alphaproteobacteria; Sphingomonadales; Sphingomonadaceae. The record is from RNAcentral.
AUGGCUCAGAAUGAACGCUGGCGGCAUGCCUAACACAUGCAAGUCGAACGAAGCCUUCGGGUUUAGUGGCGCACGGGUGCGUAACGCGUGGGAAUCUGCCCCUUGGUUCGGAAUAACAGUUGGAAACGACUGCUAAUACCGGAUGAUGACGUAAGUCCAAAGAUUUAUCGCCGAGGGAUGAGCCCGCGUAGGAUUAGGUAGUUGGUGUGGUAAAGGCGCACCAAGCCGACGAUCCUUAGCUGGUCUGAGAGGAUGAUCAGCCACACUGGGACUGAGACACGGCCCAGACUCCUACGGGAGGCAGCAGUGGGGAAUAUUGGACAAUGGGCGAAAGCCUGAUCCAGCAAUGCCGCGUGAGUGAUGAAGGCCUUAGGGUUGUAAAGCUCUUUUACCCGGGAUGAUAAUGACAGUACCGGGAGAAUAAGCUCCGGCUAACUCCGUGCCAGCAGCCGCGGUAAUACGGAGGGAGCUAGCGUUAUUCGGAAUUACUGGGCGUAAAGCGCACGUAGGCGGCUUUGUAAGUAAGAGGUGAAAGCCCAGAGCUCAACUCUGGAAUUGCCUUUUAGACUGCAUCGCUUGAAUCAUGGAGAGGUCAGUGGAAUUCCGAGUGUAGAGGUGAAAUUCGUAGAUAUUCGGAAGAACACCAGUGGCGAAGGCGGCUGACUGGA